Mesocricetus auratus (golden hamster) is the source of this 883-nucleotide long non-coding RNA. RefSeq lists it as uncharacterized. NCBI's taxonomy places the organism in Eukaryota, Metazoa, Chordata, Mammalia, Rodentia, Cricetidae. The record is from RefSeq and is a predicted model, not a curated record. The transcript has 2 exons.
CCCAGCCCUUUCACUGAAAGACUUAGCUUGCCGGUUGCUAUGCAGCAUAGCAGAAGAACACAAAACAGACAGUGGGAAGGGUUUCAGGACCUUACAGCGUAAAGCGACGGGAGAAGUGAUGGAUUGACUCACCCAGGCCCAAAUCUGAUAAAAAUUAUGUCACCGACAUAGCCAGGGGCAAGUGAACCAACUUCCCCGAAUCUCCGUCUAGCCGUCUGAAUAAUAAAGCCAUAUUUGGGGAAAGCUAUUUGGCUGAAGUCAUCAAAAUCUAAAAUGCAGUCACCUUUUCACCACAGAGGAACUCCCGUGAAGAACUAUGGUCAGGAAUGCUCGGACUUCAACACUCCGGGAGGGUCCUGAUAACACCGUUUACAUUGCUCCUGCUAUUAACUAAAUAAGUGGAAGCCCAUUCAACGUGCAACCUACUUCCGCUGCUGCAGAGUGUUAACCCUGUCAUGACUUCAAAAGGCAUCAAAUGAAUGACACUGGGAAAGGCAGGGGCCGCGUUGGCAAUGAGGGCGCCCCAACCUGGACCUCCUGACCUCCGGGCUGGUGGGUCUUGGGGAGUGGGGACUUGGGCUGUAGGUGGUCAUUCACCAGGGUUCCCAUCUCUCUAUCCCACAAGUGGGCAGUGAGUUGGGGGUGAAUGGGAAGACACUAUCAUCCUUCUACUACGUCCACAGAGAUGACUUGGGCCAAGACCCUCGAAUCCAUCUUGCCCUCCCUAGGGACUCCGUGCCCAAUGAGUCUGAGUCUUGUCAACCUGAGCAUGACGUACUGCUUGUACUAGCUCAGGACAUGGGCUAGUCCUGAUGGGGAAUGUUCUGUGUAUUUGUGUAUAUGUUUAUCUUAUUGGUUGAUGAAUAAAACACUGUGAGCCCUC